Long non-coding RNA from Engraulis encrasicolus (European anchovy), 1344 nucleotides. RefSeq lists it as uncharacterized. The record is from RefSeq and is a predicted model, not a curated record. The transcript has 5 exons. Lineage: Eukaryota; Metazoa; Chordata; Actinopteri; Clupeiformes; Engraulidae.
AAUGUAUAAAUCACAUCAAGAGGGAUCCUGGUCCAUAUUUCAAGGUAAGAUGCAAAAUUAUGUUCAAUCAUACGCAUUAGCUAGCACAAAUAAGCUAGCUCGCCAAACUUGUCAUGACUCAUGUAGCCUAAUGACGCGAAUGCCUCGGUGAAAUAAAAAAAUAUGAAUGUGUAAUUACACAACGCUACAUUUAUAUGAUAUUUCCAGAUCGCUAUUUUCAAGAUUAGGCUUUUAAUUGUGUGGUAAGCGAUCCGAUGGCCAUUGAUUUUGUGCUACCAGAACCAGUAGCAUAGGCCUACUUGAUUCCCUGAUUGUCGCUCCCAACGCAGGACGCUCCCCGGUCAGCUCGCUCCCACUAGCCAGACUAUCGAUCCCACCGCCAUAUAACGGAGCUAGUUAUCUUUUUGAUGUUAGUUUUUUGUUUCUAACCCUAAACCUAACCAUAACCCUAAACCUAACCCUAAAUUGCUUGUAUGUGGCAGUGUAUGAUAAUACGUGAAAUAUAAUCGGGUGGGACUACACGUCCGGGAGUGAUAGAAACACCUGGGACUACACGUCCGGGAGCGAUCUCAGUUGGGAGUGUCCAUCUACCUCCCGGCCUACUUGUGCCAAAAUCAAGUUGUUUUGCUAACGAACUAAAAUGCAUACCCUGGUAUUUAUGGUUACAGAUCAACGCUGAGACCAAGGUUUGCUCUGAGCACUUUGAGAAGCAGUGUUUUGUAAAGACCGCCCGUGGUAUCACAAAGCUUAUAAGGAUGCCGUGCCACUUUGUUCGCCUGGACUUCAGAGAGGCCAACGAGGAGAAUCAUCAUUCGCAGACCGAGAGAUGAUGACCCAUUCCUGAAGUUGGACGCCAGAAUGGAGGAAGGUGCUGUUUAAGAGCCUAGGCGGUGGAAGAAGCACUUGCAGGUAUGCUACUAACCAGGCUCCUCAACAUCAAUCCGAGACGGAAGAUGAACCGGGAUGAAGCGGUUAGAUUGAGACAAGGCGGCCGGAAACUUUGAUGACCUCAAUGACACUGGCUAGGUGAAGGACAUCAAGAAAAUGGCAUCCGGUCACCAGACAUCAGCUCAUAAGCCACAACGUCAUCAACCAUUUUGCGCCAAAAAUGAAGCCGUUCACAUACCAUGGCAUCCUAAGCAGGCAGCACCACACUACUGUGCAACAGUGAGAGAGAGCGGGCAAGGACAAGUAAAACGGACCUACACUACAGCAAGACUUUGACACUUCUCCGCGUGAGAGGCAGCCAUCGCCCCCACCGUUGAGCAGUGUGUACCCAGUACCCCCAAAAGAGGAGAUGAUCCGACGCCAUCACAGCCGAUUUCUAAAAUUGUACACCAAACU